CAGAGAAUUUCCUGUCCUCCACAUUCUCCACAAUCGCUACAGGAGAAAGACUCUUCCAGGACACAGUGAGCCGGGCUGUCUCAGACCAUCUCAGAGGGGCCAUCUGCCCAGGGUGACUCCAGCAGUAACAUCGCCAUCUACUGGGCCGCAGAAGGGGACAGCGCCAGGAGCG
Long non-coding RNA from Fukomys damarensis (Damara mole-rat), 172 nucleotides. RefSeq lists it as uncharacterized. Lineage: Eukaryota; Metazoa; Chordata; Mammalia; Rodentia; Bathyergidae. The record is from RefSeq and is a predicted model, not a curated record. The transcript is spliced from 3 exons.